GACGGAGGGGGCAAGCGUUACCCGGAUUUACUGGGCGUAAAGGGCGUGUAGGCGGCCUGGGGCGUCCCAUGUGAAAGGCCACGGCUCAACCGUGGAGGAGCGUGGGAUACGCUCAGGCUAGACGGUGGGAGAGGGUGGUGGAAUUCCCGGAGUAGCGGUGAAAUGCGCAGAUACCGGGAGGAACGCCGAUGGCGAAGGCAGCCACCUGGCUCACUUGUGACUCUGAGGCGCGAAAGCGUGGGGAGCAAACCGG
This 253-nucleotide ribosomal RNA is filed under the name uncultured bacterium. Its description in RNAcentral is "partial 16S ribosomal RNA". It matches the Rfam family "Bacterial small subunit ribosomal RNA", at positions 524 to 776 of the family's 1533-position model. The record is from RNAcentral.